This is a long non-coding RNA of Populus euphratica (Euphrates poplar), 4392 nucleotides long. RefSeq lists it as uncharacterized. Lineage: Eukaryota; Viridiplantae; Streptophyta; Magnoliopsida; Malpighiales; Salicaceae. The record is from RefSeq and is a predicted model, not a curated record. The transcript is spliced from 2 exons.
AUGCCAAAGCAGAAAAUCCAGAAGAUAUAAAAACAUAAAGAUGUUAAUAGAAACAAUCAAAUAUUCAUAUCACCUCACAAAAAAGAUCCUACUGCCACCUUCGCUGUCAAGGACCAAUUAGGAGGCACAUGUGAGCAUACAUACAAGUUAACAACUAGGUGUUAAUAAAUUCGUUACAAUGUUAAUCAGGUAACAACAUAUGGUCUUUAAUAGGCCAAAAUCAUCUUGUUUGUCAAUGUUUAUUGGUCAAUAAUUUUAAUUCAACAGCAUCACAUGACACAGGAGUUUUCGGAUUACCAAAUAUUUUUCCUAGGUUAUUUUACUUUUCUUAUUUAGUUGGAAUCCCAAUGAUAGUUAGAUUCUAUAUUAGCCCUAUAACCUUAAAAAAUGAUUCCUUUUCCUGCAAGGAUUAGGAUUAAUGCCUAGAAUUAGUAUAAAUAGGGUUGUCUAGCUUAUUUUUCAGACAUUUAUUAUGUUAUUUUUAAUCAUUAUACGUUUUAGAGGUUCUCUACAGACCCUAAACCUAUUUUUCUAGUUCCAACUUCAAUUUUCUUCUAGUUUUAGCCAAAGAUUCUGUUCUUUGCUGUUUUGAGUGGGUUUCUCUUCCCAUGCUAAUUCAAGUUUGUAUCAGACCAUAAAAGAUCCUAGAUUUUUUUAGGUUUUGAUCCUAAACCAUGGCUGGAUGUGCUAGAUGUUGUGGAUGAGGAAAUCAAGAUCACCGAGUAGAUAUGGCUGCACCGAGACAAGAAAUUGAAGAAUUGUCAUGGGAGCCCAAAUGGAGAAUUUGGAAGGCAACCACAACCCCUUGGACAUGUCAGAAGGUGAUCUUGAAGGUGAACAUGUUGAUGAGGUGGACAAAGACCCUUUUCAUGAUGCUGGAGUAAGAAGUAGAUUUGAAGAGUGUUUUAGCCCAUGACCUUGAUCUGAAUGGAGGAAUUAAGAUAGACGUUGCUGAUUUUUAUGAAAAGAUUCAUGUAGAGGGUUAUUUAGAUAGGGAAGCUAGCUUGAAUAAUUAUUUUGAAUGGAAAACUAUGGCUGAAGCUAGGAAAGUGUUGUUCGUUAAGCUUAAAUUGAAGGGCGCUGCACUUCAACAGUGGAAGAGAGUUGAAGAGCAGCACGCACAGCAAGGUAAGGCUAAAAUCGGCAGCACUUGGGAACAUAUGAAAGCAAAAUUGUGCAAGCAAUUUUUACCACCUGAUUAAACAAAGGAGUUGUAUGGGAAAUUUCAUUUAUUAAAACAAAGAAGCAUGUCUGCAGAGGAGUAUAUGACUGAAUUCAACAACCUUUCAAUUCACAUAGGGCUGAAUGAGGUAAUGAGCGACGUCGUGCUAUCUAGCUGGCUUGAAUCAAUCUAUUAGGGAUGAAAUGGGAGCGGUUCAAUUAUUUAGUCUUGAAGAUGCAUGGCAGCAUGCAUUGAUGGAUGAUAUGGUUACAUGUAAGAGUUCAUAUUGCUACAUUUAACCUAAGGGAGCUAAGGCUGUUAUUAAAUGUUGUCAUACAGUUGAAGUUUCGAAAGAACAAAGGAUGGCAAGUCUUGGUUGGACAUCCACAAGAGAUCAAGGAAAGAAUGUUUUCAACUGAAGGGUUUUUGUUUUUUUUUGUUUUUUUUAAAACCUAAGGGAACUGGCAUAGGAGCUUUUGGAAGAAUAAAUAUUUGUCCUUAGUGAUUUUACAUUUUUUUUUUUAAUUAAGUUUAGGAAUCAUAAUGCUAGUUAGAAUCUAUAUUAGCUAUAUAACUUUCAAUAAGGAUUCUUUUUCCUAUGAGGAUUAGGAUUUAGUCCUAGAACUAGAGUAAACAAGGUUGAUAGGUUAUUAUUCAGACAUUUUUAUAUUAUAAUCAAUCAUUAUACAUUUGAGAGGUUUUCUACAAACCAUGAACCUAUUUUUCUGGUUCCAACUUCAAUUUUCUUCUAGUUUUAGCCCUAAGUUUCUGUUCUUAGCUGUUUUGAGCAGAUUUCCAUUCACAAACUACGUCAAAUCAAAUGAUAUUCUACUUACAUGUGAAACUAAACAACGAUAAAUGUCAAAAUUCUACUUAUGACUUGGAGUUCUAUGCAUUGGUGAGAACCAUAUGACCAUUGGGAACAUUAUUUUGGCAUCUUGAGUUCAUAGUUUAUUAUAAUCAUCAAGCAUUAAAAUAAUUAAAUUCAAAGAAGAAGUUGAAUGACUGUCAUGUUAAAUGGAGUUCUUUUCUUGAUCAGUACAGUUUUACUUUGAAAUACAAGACUGGUGAAUCUAACAAAGUAGCUCCUGGGUUAAGUAGGCAGCCUUCUCUAUUAGCUGUAAUAAGUAUGCAAGUUGCGGGGUUCAAUGAACUCAAAACUAAGUAUGAAACAGACCCCUAUCUCAAACUGAUUUUGGAGAAAUUAAAAGGGCCAACAAGUUUGGAUCAGUUACCAUAUAGGUUGCAUUAAGGUCAUAUAUUCAAAGGCAAUCAAUUAUGUAUUCCAAAGGGAUCAUUGUGCGAACAAAUAAUGUUGGAGCUUCAUGGUAAUGGAUUAGGUGGUUCUUUUGGUAGAGGCAAGAUUUUGGCAAUGGUGAUAUAUUGUUAUUAUUGACCACAAGUGUAUAGAGAUGCAGUUACGUUGGUAAAAGAUGUUCUGGGUGUCAAUUCAGCAAAGGUACUAAAUAAAACAAUGGUUUGUAUACUCCUUUGCCAAUACCAAAAGCUACAUGGAUUCAUUUGAGCAUGGACUUUCUCUCGGGAGUUUCAAAGACAGCAAAGGGAUAUGAUUCUAUUUUUGUUAUGGUGAAUGAUUUUCAAAGCUGGCACACUUUAUUCCAUGUUUCAGAACCUCUGAUGGUACAUAUAUUGCUGAUUUAUUCUAUGGAGAAGUCAUGAGAUUACAUGGUGUACCUUCUUCAAUUGUUUCAGAUAGGGAUUUUAAGUUUAUGGGGCACUUUUGGAGGACUUUAUGGAGGAAAAUGGGGACUGAAUUGAAAUAUCCCAACACUUAUCAUCCUCAAAUAGAUGGCCAAACUGAAUCUAUUAAUAGAAGGUUGCGAAAUUUUCUGAGAUGUCUAGUUGGAAAUCACAUGAAGAGUUGGGAUUUGGUUAUUCCUCAAGCUGAAUUUGCUCAUAUCAAUUCAAUUAAUAGAUCAAUAAAGUAGACACCAUUCAAAGCAGCAUGUGGACUCAUGCCACAACACGUUCUUGAUUUGGUGUCAUUACCUCCAGAAGCUAGACUUAGGAAUGACAGUGUGGCUUUUUCGGAUGAAAUUAGAAGGGUUCAUGAAGAUGUAGGGAAAGCUUUAAAGGCUAGCAAUCAAUCCUAUGCCACUGCUGCAAAUGAACAUCACAAGAUCAAAGAGUUUGAAGAGGGAGAUUUGGUACUUGUACAUUUAAAGAUAGAAAGGCUUCCUACGGGAAAAUAUCAUAAACUCAAGUCAGGUAAGUUUGGGACAUGUAAAAUAUUAAAGAAAAAUAGUUCCAAUGUCUAUUUUAUAGUGCUGCCAUCUGAAUAACAGGUCAGUAAAAAAUUUAAUGUUUGUGAUCUGUUUCCAUUUGAGGGAUUUGAUGGAGAAGCAGCUCAAGUUGCAAAGAAAAUGGUUCAACCACCAUAGGUGCAACAAGAUGUUAUCGAAAAGAUUUUGGGCCAGGUAAAAUAUUAACGAAAAUUAGUUCCAAUGCCUAUUUUAUAGAGCUGCAGUCUGAAUUACGGCUCAGUCCAAUCCAUAAUGUUUGUAAUCUAUUUCCAUUUGAGGUAUUUGAUGGAGAAGCAGCUGAAGUUGUAGAGAAAAUGGUUUAACUACCAAAGGUGCAACAAGAUGUUAUAGAAAAGAUUUUUGGCCAUGUAAAACAUUAAAGAACAUUAAUUCCAGAGACUAUUUUAUAGAGCUACAGUCUGAAUUACAGAUCAGUCUGAUCUUUCACGUUUGUUAUCUAUUUCCAUUUGACGGAUUUGAUGAAGAAGCUACUGAAGUUGCUGAUCAAAUGGUUCAACUACAAAAAGUGCAACAAGAUGUUACUGAAAAGAUUUUGGGCCAUGUAUACUAUUAAAGAAAAUUAGUUCCAAUGCCUACGUUAUAGAGCUGCCUCCUGAUUUAUAGAUCAGUCCAAUCUUUAAUGGAUGUGAUCUAUUAACAUUUGAGGGAUUUGAUGGAGAAGCAACUGAAGUUGCAGAGCAAAUGUUUCAACUACCAAAGGUGCAACAAGAUGUUAUCAAAAAGAUUUUGGAUGUCAAAGAGGUCAAGUCAAGAUGAGGUAGACAGUGCAAGCAAUUUUUGGUAAAGUGGUUCAGUAAACCAGCUAGUGAGAGAACUUGGAUGGCUGAAGAAGGGUUGAAGAAGGCUGAACCUGAGUUACAUGAUGAAUCCGUGAAGGUUUUCUCGCCUGAGUCAAGUUUUCCAAUCCGAGGGGAUUGAUGCAGGGAUUUCUGGAUUAUUAAAAAA